RNAcentral lists this transfer RNA (76 nucleotides) under Atribacterota bacterium. RNAcentral describes it as "tRNA-Ala". It matches the Rfam family "tRNA". Rfam says of the family: Transfer RNA (tRNA) molecules are approximately 80 nucleotides in length. Their secondary structure includes four short double-helical elements and three loops (D, anti-codon, and T loops). RNAcentral also lists the same sequence under 1 other name. Lineage: Bacteria; Pseudomonadati; Atribacterota. The record is from RNAcentral.
GGGGCUGUAGCUCAGUCGGGAGAGUGCCUCCUUGGCGUGGAGGAAGUCGCGGGUUCGACUCCCGCCAGCUCCACCA